GUCUACGGCCACACCACCCUGAACGCGCCCGAUCUCGUCUGAUCUCAGAAGCUAAGCAGGGUCGGGCCUGGUUAGUACUUGGAUGGGAGAAAUGGGAAAGGAAGAAUGUGCAAAGA
Molecule: ribosomal RNA, 116 nt
Filed under: Microcebus murinus (gray mouse lemur)
Lineage: Eukaryota; Metazoa; Chordata; Mammalia; Primates; Cheirogaleidae
Source: RNAcentral